CCUACGGGCGGCAGCAGUGAGGAAUAUUGGUCAAUGGGCGCGAGCCUGAACGAGCAAAGUAGCGUGAAGGAUGACUGCCCUACGGGUUGUAAACUUCUUUUAUAAAGGAAUACAGUGAGGCACGUGUGCCUUUUUGUAUGUACUUUAUGAAUAAGGAUCGGCUAACUCCGUGCCAGCAGACGCGGUAAUACGGAGGAUCCGAGCGUUAUCCGGAUUUAUUGGGUUUAAAGGGAGCGUAGAUGGGUUGUUAAGUCAGUUGUGAAAGUUUGCGGCUCAACCGUAAAAGUGCAAUUGAUACUGGCAGUCUUGAGUACAGUUGAGGUAGGCGGAAUUCGUGGUGUAGCGGUGAAAUGCUUAGAUAUCACGAAGAACUCCGAUUGCGAAGGCAGCUUACUAAACUGCCACUGACAUUGAUGCUCGAAAGUGUGGGUAUCAAACAGGAUUAGAUACCCGGGUAGUC
This 460-nucleotide ribosomal RNA is filed under the name uncultured bacterium. Its description in RNAcentral is "partial 16S ribosomal RNA". It matches the Rfam family "Bacterial small subunit ribosomal RNA", at positions 338 to 795 of the family's 1533-position model. The record is from RNAcentral.